This 11464-nucleotide long non-coding RNA is filed under the name Olea europaea (common olive). Its description in RNAcentral is "long non-coding RNA (OEUR_LNC013365)". Lineage: Eukaryota; Viridiplantae; Streptophyta; Magnoliopsida; Lamiales; Oleaceae. The record is from RNAcentral.
AAAUAUAAAACUUACCAUCCAAUAUUUGUUAUAAACCUCUAUCAACUUCAACGCUCUCAAUGUAGCUCUGGAACUAUGUUUUAGAUCAAUUGGAGUGUCUCUUGGUUUGCAGCCUUAAUACAGGAGAUCUAAGACAUACUUUCUCAAUGGUAGAAAUAUCCAUUUACUAGACCUUGCAAUUAUAAUGCCUAGAAAGUAUCUUCUUUCCUCAAACCCUUAAUUCUUGAAUUCUUUUGUAAGAAUUCUCUCAAGUCUCUCAAUCUCAUCAGUAUCAGCAUCAGCGAUAGUAACAAUGAUGUCAUCCACAUAGACAAUUAAGGUAAGGAUUAUUUUUUCUAUCUUUAAAUUGUUUAAGGAACAAAGUAUGAUGAUUUUGGCUUUUAGUAUAAUCAAAUCGAUGAAUUCCUUUUAGCUUCUUGAACUAUGCUCAGGUGAUUGUUUUUGUCCGUAUACGGACUUCUUCAAUUUGCACAUUUUGCUUUCAAAACAUAUCUUUAAAAAGAAGUGCACAAAUGAGAAAUAGGGGAGAAUGAAAAGGGCGCCCUACCUACAAUGAAACUAAAGCCUAUGAUGCUCGGACUCCGGUCUGGGUAUCGGGUACCAGUACGUAUAUAAGUGUUAGAUCUUUUAUUUUUUAAAAUCUAGGAUAAGGGGACAUGAUGAAAAAGAGUCUAAAUUUCGGACACGGGUACUGGUACCUCUUUCAAGCUUCAAUUUUUUUACUAAUUGAAGAUGUUAUUUUGAGUAGACCAAAAUCAACUGUUCAUAAAGAAGGAAAUGAGUAUUGAAUAAGGGAUUAAAACGAAUAAAAUAUAAUUUUCCGAUUUAUUUUUCAAUUAUGAGAAGUUAAUUAUUCAAAUGUUAAGUAAAAUAGAAAAGAAGAGACUUGAUUGCAAUUUGGACUUAGUGGAGCACUAAGUAGCAUUAUAUGGAACCAAUUUUCAUUUUAUAUGGAAUCAAUUUUUAUUUUAUUCAAAGAAAACUCUAAACCACAGAUAUAGAGAGUGAAAGAAAGAAAAAGAAGAAAAGGGAAAGAAAAAAGGAAGAAGAAGAAAGGAAAGCCUAGAGUCGUAACCUUUCUCCAUCCUCUCGGAGGCCGCACUAGGUUUAUAGAGAGUGAAAACGGAUAGAAAAGGAAAAGAAAAAAAGAAGCAAAAAAGGCGAAGUGUCCUGUUGAAACUUAGAUGAUCAGCACUUAUCCCAUAUCCGUACCCAUGUCAUGUUGUGUCCGACACGGGUACUCCGACCAUUUCGAAGAAUCCGAAGAUCAAAGACUAAAGCCCCAACGAGCAAUUGCAUUUUCUAACUGAAAUGAAAUACUAUUACUAGAAUGGAAUUGUACGUCUAAAAUAGUCCUAAACAACUUUCUUAGGAGCAAUUGGUAUUCAAGAUCAUAAAAAUCAAGUUUUAUGGCAAGAUUAGAAAUUGCUAUGUUUUAAAAGAUUUUUGCUCGGUUGAGGUGAUGGGUGAUCUUGUGAAGAUUGUGUCUUAUUCUUCUUGAGUAAUCCUUUAAGUUAUAGCCUAUAGCAUGUAUGCUUUCAAGUGGAAUGCUAGUGGUGUGGAAGCAAUAAUAAAAUGAUUGUAAUAAGAAUUAUGUCUUAAGAAGAAUAUUGAAAUAACUUACUUUAUUGUUGAUUGAAUAAUGAUUGGUGUUAUGAAAAAAGUUUACAAUACCUCUAUAUUUGUAGGCAAGAUAAUUCCUCGUCCUAUUAAUGUAAGGAAACUAAAAUAAGAAAACUAAUAAAAAUCCUAAUCUAAAAGAAAUUGAAAAACCUAUUCUAAUUAAUAAAAUAAGAAAUCCUAUUCUAAACAAAAUAUUAGAAUAAAAGGAUAAAACCUAUUACAGCUAAAUAUCUUAUUAUAAUUAUCUAACUUUUACUCUAAUUACAAUAGGAUUGUCCUACAUCAUUCUCUCACACUUGAAAGAAACUCUUUCCUCGAGUUUGGUUGAAGAGAAGAAAAUUAAUAAAUCGGGAGGAGAAUACUCAAAAACAAAAAUUUCUGUCAAUACUCUGAUAUUUAAAACAUUUCAAUUUCUUGAUGUGCUUGAUAAAUGUUAUAUUCUUCAUCUGUUAGGGCUUGCAUUGUGUAUGUGCCCUCAUGCUCAAGUAAUCUGGCAAACUGACAAUGUAAAUAGAAGCUAUCACAGAUUCAACACUCUUAUCAAUCCCAGCAACAUCUUCUGACAUAGAUGUAGUGAUUUUGAAACAUGAAUUUUUUUCCUUUUGGUAGUGAUCUGAUGGCUGGUAAUAGUGAGGUGAAUAAAAUUCCCAUUCAGUUAGUUUAUCUACAGGAACUGAAACUGUAGUUGGUACAUUUUGAACAGUCACCUAGCAUGUCUCCAAUAGCUAAGAAAACACCAAAUAUUUCCUGCUUAGGCAUUCCCAGUGAAGAAAAUUAACUUAAGGAGCUCCAUUAAGCCUCUAUAGUAACUAAUAUGCCUGCUGAACCAUGUGAUUGCUUCUACAACUUUUCCACCAUGCAGUAAUAAUGUUGACGUCUUAAAAUGCAACCAUUUUGUGAUGCUCUUAAUCUCAUUUAAACUCUGGAUUGGAAGCCAUCUUGUUGAGAUUCCAACCACCUCUUGUAGUGCAUGAUAGGCCUCCUCGUACAUCUUCUGAGCUUUAAGCCAACCUCUGUGAAACUCUGCAUAUACAGCAACUUUAAAAUAGUAGUGAAUAUGUAACUCUAUUAAGCCGAAGUGUUUUUUUUUUUUUUUUUUUCAAGACGUGAUUUAACUCUUCACCCUUUAUCUUUAUAAUAUGUAUUUGCAAGUUUAGUGCAUGCAAUCCCUAGCGUGUUGAGAGAUUGUUUAAGCUCUAACGGAUGAUUUGGUACAAAGAUGAUAAGAUUUUUCAAAUCUGCUUCUGCACGCUUCUUUAAGGAAAUCAUGCUAUCUUUACUUAUGUCAUCUUUGAUUUCUUCGUGACUGAAAAGUUUAAUUCCCUCAUCUCUUGUUGGAAACUUCUGAACUUCAAAUAGUUCAUCAUCGAAGUGCAGCUUAUUUUCAAAUGUCUUUAUUGGAUACUCUCCCACUCAGAUAGGAUACAAAUGUUACGAUCCUUCGAAAGGAAAAGUCUUCGUGAGUCUCGAUGUCACUUUUUUUGAAAACACUCCAUAUUUCCACCAAACCUCUCUUCAGGGGAGGAAUCAAAGUGAAGAUCGGUACCUAAACCUAGAUCUUCUUCCCUUGGAGCCUGUCUCAAUCAUACUUCCUAGUUCUUCUAUGCCAUUAAUAGGAGAUAGCUUAAAUUAAGGGAGAGAUGCAGAAAAGCAAAGAGACAAUGAGAUGCUUGUCUACUCAAGAAGACCAAAAGCAAAGCAGAAGGACUUCACACUUGAAGUACCAAGAGAGUCAGAACUGAUGGUAGCUCCAGAACCCUAUGACACCACAAAGGUAUCAUAAUCCUCAGAUAUUAAUCUUCCCAUUGCACUCAGAAAACAAACUUCAUCAUGUACUCUUCAUCCCAUUUCAAAGUUCAUGUCCUAUAAUGCUCUAUCAACUGAAUUUCGCAGUUUUACCUCUCAUCUUAACAACACCAAAAUUCCCAAGAACAUUUAGGAAGACUUAGAACUUUCAAAGUGGAGAGAGGCAGUGAUGGAUGAAAUGCGAGCAUUGGAAAAGAACAAAACUUGGGAGAUAGUAGAGCUGCCUCAAGGAAAAAAACCAGUUGGAUGCAAAUGGAUUUUCAACCUAACAUACAAAGCUGAUGGAACAAUAGAAAUGUAUAAGGCUCGAUUUGUUGCUAAGGGAUACACACAGACUCUGAUGCACCGACGCGGACACAAGCUCGAUUUUUUGAUGAAAUCUUUUAAAUAUAAGUAUUUUUUUUGUUAUUUACUAAUAACUUUGAGUAAAAAAUAUAUAAUAGCUAUAGUAAGAAAGGAAAAUGAUUAUUGUAGAGUGUUUGAAGAGUGUCGGUAUCGACAGGUGUCGGACAGGGACACGCUACCCUAGUUAGUGUCCAUGCUACAUAGCACAAACAUAUGGGAUUGAUUACACAUAGACAUUUGCACCUGUAGCAAAAUUGAAUACUAUUCGAGUACUUUUGUCAUUGGCAACGAAUUUAGAUUAACCCCUUCAGUAAAUGGAUAUUAAGAAUGCAUUUCUCAGUGUAGAAUUGGAAGAAGAGGUUUACAUGACACUACUUCCAGGUUUCUGCAAAGCAGGCGAAAAGAAUCAAACAUGUAAACUCAAGAAAUCAUUAUAUGGUCUCAAACAGUCAUAUAGGAAAUGGUUUGACAGAUUUGCAAAGGUACUGAAGAGGAAAGGAUACCAACAAGGACAGUCAGAUCACACUAUGUUCUUAAAGCAGUUUGAUGAUAGGGCGAAAACAAUCUUAAUUGUUUAUGUUGAUGAUAUAAUCUUGACAGGUGACAACAUAAUAGAGAUGGACAGACUAAAGAGUUUAGCAGCAAAAUUUGAAGUAAAAGAUAAGGGACAAAUGUUAUACUUCUUGGGAAUGGAAAUAGCAAGGUUACAUAGAGGUAUCAGUGUCUCACAAAAAAAUAUAUAUAUAUACUUGAUCUCCUUACAGAGAUUGAAAUGCUUGGAUGUAAACUAAGUGAUACACCUGUUGAUGUGGAAAAAAAGGUCAAGAAUGUUGGCAACUCUGUAGAUAUUGACAGAUAUCAAAGACUUGUGGGUAAACUAAUCUGUUUGUCACAUACUAGACCCGAUAUUGCAUUUGCAGUUAGUAUGGCAAGCCAACAUAUGCAUUCUCUGAAUGAAGCUCAUCCAGAAACAGCCUACAAGAUACUCAGAUAUCUCAAGGGAUCCUUCGGAAAAGGAUUAUUCUUCAAAAAAAAUGAUAAAAAGGGAAUAGAAAUCUUUAUAGAUGCAUACUGGGCAGGUUCAACAGAUGAUAGAAGGUUAACUAUUGGAUAUUGCACUUUUGUAUGGGGAAAUUUAGUAACUUGGAGAAGUAAGAAGCAAAAUGUUGUAGCUAGAAGUAGUGCUAAAGUUGAGUUUAAAGCAGUAGCACAAGAAGUAUGUGAGGGACUGUAGUUAAAGAAACUUCUGGAAGAGUUGCGCGUUACAUUAAAAGCUCCAGUUAAACUGUAUUGUGAUAACAAAGCUACAAUCAACAUUUCUCUGAACCCGAUUCAACAUGAUCAAACUAAACAUGUAGAGGUAGACAGACACUUUAUCAAAAAGAAGGUAGAUGAAGGAAAUAUUUGUAUGAUAUAUGUUCAUACACGGGAACGAACUGCAGACAUCUUCACUAAAGGUCUAUCUCGACAAAAAAUUGAUGAUUUCAUUCACAAGUUGGAUAUGAUCAACAUUUACGAUCCAACUUGAGGAGGAGUGUUGAAAUUCUAGAGAUAUGAUAAUAUCUUAUUUGCAUUGAUUAACUAUUGUAUUUAGGGAAAUUGUUAUUAUUGUAAUUAGGCAUGAUUCUUGGAGAUUAGGUAGGAUUUGAGAAUAUUUUUUAUUUCCUUAAUUUAGCCCCUCUUGAGUACUAUAAAAAAGGGCACUCAGCUGUAAUGUAAAAUAAGAGAAAAAAGAUAGUUUUUUCCUCUCUUCUCAAGUCUCUUAACAUACAGUUAUAAAUUAAGUUGGUAAGUUUUUUUAUGUUGUGGCAACCUGGUAGGGUUAAUUUUCACGUGAAACUAUAUUUGAAUACAAUCCAAAUUCCACCUUUUAUAGUUGUUAGUGAAUCUUCUUUUAGUGAGGUAAGUAUUAAUUAUAUAAUUUAUACCAAUUCAAGUACGUGACUAGUAUGAUUUGUUUUAUCAAAUUUCAAUUCUAUCCAAGUUUGGUAUACGUUUUCUUCCAUCACAAUUGUACUAUGACUUAACUACUAUUUUUUUUCCUAUAUACAGUGUGCAAUUGUCUAAUAAUUCUUCCCCAUGAAAUUUUACACUGCAGAUAGGAGAGAGAAAAUAGUUUUGAAAACUCAAGUCACGAUUUUAUUAACGCAGUCGAGAAAGUAGAAAAGAUAUUGGAAUUCUUUCAAAAAUUCAUUUUAUUUGAUGAGGUAAGAUACUUAUGUGCAAGUGGAUGUUUCCGUAUACUUUUAUGUUCAAUAAUUUAUGCAUUAAUUGUUAGUAGACUUCCUAGCGCAACCUAACGAAAUAUGAACUCUAUUGGGUUCUUAAUAACGAAAUGUGAAAUCCUUCUGGAAUUUAAAGUACUACUGAUUGAUGUGUCGCUUGGUCAUCGAUAUACUCCAUAAAAAUGUGGUAUGAAGAAGAGUGGGAAUGUCUCGAUGACGGCGUCAAGUACAAAAAAAGGCUUGAAAAUGAACGAGUUUUUGAAUUCCUGGCCGGUCUUAAUCGCGGCUUAGAUGACGUUCGAGGAUGAAUUUUGGGCCAAAAGCCACUGCCUUCCACACGAGAGGUGUUUGCCAAAGUGAGAAGGGAGGAAAGCUGACAAAAAGUAAUGAUGAAGGACGGAGCAACCGCUAUAGGAGACUUGGAGAUGUUGGCACUUCUGGGUAAAGGAAUUGGAGCUGCAUCGCCUCAUUAAUUUUGGCCGAAUGCUGGACUAUUCAAUUUGGACAAGCUGAAUAUUUUAUUGUUGGGCCAAUUGGUGUUGGGUCAAAUAUUGGGUAUUCUCAAAUUGGACAGAAUGGUAUCUCCAACUUUGGGCCUGGGUCCUCACAAUUUGGGCAAACAAUGUUAUCUCAAUUUGGGCGUACAAAAAGUGUUUGCCAAAGUGAGAAGGGAGGAAAGCUGACAAAAAGUAAUGAUGAAGGAUGGAGCAACCGCUAUAGGAGACUUGGAGAUGUUGGCACUUCUGGGUAAAGGAAUUGGAGCUGCGUCGCCUCAUUAAUUUUGGCCGAAUGCUGGACUAUUCAAUUUGGACAAGCUGAAUAUUUUAUUGUUGGGCCAAUUGGUGUUGGGUCAAAUAUUGGGUAUUCUCAAAUUGGACAGAAUGGUAUCUCCAACUUUGGGCCUAGGUCCUCACAAUUUGGGCAAACAAUGUUAUCUCAAUUUGGGCGUACAAAAAAUGUUAGGCUUACAGGUUUAUCAUCAAAAGGCACAACGAAUGGGUUGGACCAAAAACAACAAAAAGGACGACCCGAUGCGAAUACUGCGGUAAACGAGGACAUAAAGAAGACACAUGUUGGGAUUUACAUGGCAAACCCAUCAACUUGAAAUCAACACAAAAUAUUAAAAAUCGUGGCUAUCAAGUUUUGGUCAAUCAAACUAGAAAAUCCAAAGAGCAAAAAAAAUGGAGCAUUUAAUCCCAAGCAAUGAGAACAACUAUAUCAAAUCUUCUCCAACCUCAGACAUCAAGCUAGUCUUCUACAUACGGCUCUUCGAGCUCACUGGCUCACAAAGGUAGUUUCCUGAAAGCAUUAAAUGUCACAUCAAAUCAUAAGAACACCUUGGAUUAUUGAUUCAGGUGCUUCCAAUCCUACGAUGGAUGCUUAUCAUUUGUUUUGACCUUGUUCUAGACUUGCGACUUCUUUCUUAGACAACAUAAGGUACCGAAAGGAGUUAGGGUGUUUGAGCAUAUAUCAUCAAAUUGUAGUUGACUUGAAUAAUAAUGCCUGCAAAAAGUCGGCCCCAAAAAAUUUAAUCCUUGUUGCAGACCUUCAUAGUCAACCUAAAGGCAUGUUUAUGUGCUGUUUUUGAAAGAACUGUACAGCACAAUCUUUUUAUUCUUUAAAUUAUCCCAUACUCUAUAAUCCACCUUACCAAACAAGAUAUACAUUUUUCAUAUAAUAUUUGAAAAGUUCCCUCAUGUAGAAUGGUGAGUUACAGGAUUUGCAAUCAAUAUCAUUUAAGGAAGCUAGAUUUUCAUUUGAGAUCUCACGGAAAAUUCAUGUUCAUAAGUAGUUACGUAUGGAGCUGAGCUCUAAAAUGCAAUUAUAAUCACCCAAUAAUGGAGAGGUUUGAGAGUGUAUAUUAGUUCUUGGUACUUCUUGAUGCAAAAUAUGGUACUAAUCUGUUUUAAUGAAUCAUCUCUUAUGUUGAGAGCGUAGGUGGUCUACUUAAGAAAUGUGUGACUGGUCUUGACUUUUCCAAUUAAUGCAGUUCUCUUCACUGCAAUCUCUUUUGCAACCAUUCUAAAUAUCAUGGAGAGCAGGGCAUCAAUGCACCUAUAAGUUAACUAUUUGCCUUAGCUUGAAGUUAUUAUUUAAAUAAUUCUAAUCUUAUCAAUUUUCGUGGUAGUCUUCUUCAGAGAUGAUUGAGGGCUUAGGCAGUCUACUUAAGAAUUACAUGAUGGUUCUUGGUUUUUAGAAUAAUGCUUUUUCUUUCUUUCUUUCUUUCUUUCUUUCUUUUUUUUUUUUUUUUUUUUUUUUUUUUUUUUUUUUUUUUUUUUUUUUUUUUUUCUUUUUUUUUUUUUUUUUUUUUUUUUUUAAAAUUCAUUAUUCUCGUUUCCUUUUGUAUCUUUUCCUUAUCUCCUCUUCUUGGUUCUUGCUAUACCAACAGCCUUCUCUCUUUAUUCUUCUUCAUGUUUUCUUCUUCCUCUAAUUUUGGUUAGUCAGUGGAUGGUCUGCCACUGUGAGAAAAGAUGACUGACAGGAGAGAGAGUGUGAUCACAGGGAGGAAGAUAAUUGUGAUUAGACUAUCAGCGACUUUUAUCAGAUUAGAUUAGGUAUUUGAGUGGCUUCUUUUAUCAAUCUUACUUAAAAUGUUCUCACUUUUAUAAGUACCAUAAUACUAUAAAAAUAUGGAACUAUUUUUUUAUACAGGAGGGAGAGAGUGAUCACGGGGAGGAAGAUAAUUGUGAUUAGACUAUCAGAGACUUUUAUCAGAUUCGAUUAGGUAUUUGAGUGGCUUCUUUUAUCAGUCUUACUUAAAAAUAUUCUCACUUUUAUAAGUACCAUUAUACUAUAAAAAUAUGGUACUAUUUUUUUAUGCAGGAGGGAGAGAGUGAUCACGGGGAGGAAGAUAGUGUGAUUAGACUAUCAGAGACUUUUAUCAGAUUAGAUUAGGUAUUUGAGUAGCUUCUUUUAUCAGUCUUACUUAAAAUAUUUUGUAAGUACCAUUAUACUAUAAAAAUAUGGAACUAUUUUUAUACAAGGAAAUGCAACUUCUUGUUUUUACCAUAUAUGUUAAAAAAGUACACUUCUAAACUAGAUUGAACUACAUAGAAACUGAGACAAACGUAACUGGAGUUAUUAUUUUUAGGGUCAGGACAUGAGGGAUAGAUGGUUGAUUUUACUUAAGUUCUUCCUAUAAAGCUGAAAGACCCUUGAAAUUAAGCAAAGAAACGACCCCAAGCAUGCCUAUUCCAUUUGUAUUAUACAGGGAGCAACUUUCUAGGUUUUCUUUAAUGUAAUUACUGCUGCUGGGAUAGGAAUUUUUGGUCUCCUACACAAUAGUGUAGUGGAUGGUUGGCAUUGUCCCUUACCCAUUUAUUAAUAGCAGUUUUCUAGCUUAUAUUACUUUCGGGUUAAUGUAAUAUCUCAAGACCACAAAUGAUUAACUAUCUGCUUGUUUGAUGUUAUCACUCUGGAAAGUUAUUGGACAAGAACUCCCACAGGACUUUUAACUGAUGUCCAAUAAACUCAAAAAUUUACUGCUGCUGGUGCCUACUACUUGUAUGAGAGUUCACGUGCUUCUUUAAAUGUGUUAUGAAGUACCUAUACCAUUACGUAUUUUUACUUUCUUUUCUUUCUCUUGCUUAAACGAUCUUGUUUUUUCUUUACUGGUAGUAUGCUUUUCUAGGGAAUUUCUCAUACUUGGUUAUCUAGUGAAAGUUUAAUCCCAGAAAUAAUCAUGUCUUCCAUAGAUAUUUCCAGUCUUCAUGCAAUUUAAUGCUCUUGGAGUCAUUUACAUGUCAAUCAAUACUUAUUCAACUUUUCGCGUGAUUGCUAUUACUUGUAUUUAGUCAUUCUUAUAAUUCUUCUUUGAAACAAUACACCAAUUAAAUCUAUAAUUGUCUGCUUCCUUUGUGAUGCUGACAUUACACUUUUGGAUCUUGAGCUCUUGAGUUCCUGUUAAUUGGUUCUCCUAGCUUGUCGUCAUAGAGCCACUCAAAUCCUACUUGCAUUUGUGCGAGUUUCACUUCUAACAAUAUCUAUAACCUAGGUUUAUUUUUUUUUAUUUUUUUAUUUUUUCAAAAAAAAAAAAAAAAUUUAUUUUUUGCAUUUCACUCAAAUCAGUUCUAUUUUUUGCAUUACCUGUUCCAUUAAUGUUCUUCAACAAAGUUGUCACAACUCAGCAUUGGAGAUGAGAAAUUUUGAGUGACUUAUUGAUUGCCUGGACAGGUUGUACCAGGUUUCAUUGAAUUCUUGACCUUUAUAAUUCGUCUCAUCUGCAUCUUCUGCUAAACAACUUGGAGGAGUUUUCAUGAAAUCUGUUCUUCUCGUCUUAUUACUUGAUCCUUAUUCUUAUCAUAUCAUUUUUAAUAUGAGCAAACAUCCAUCUUAUAAUUCUCAUUUUAGAUAGGUUCAUCUUAUGGAUAUGUCGUCCUAUGCAACACUCAGUCCUAUAUAAAGCAUAAAAGGUAUGAUCAUUGUUCUAUAGAGCUGACAUUUUAAGAUUACAGGAAUUUUCUUAUCGAGCAAUCACUCUAGUACUUCUCCAUUUCAUCCAACCUGCUCUAAUCUUAUGCGUUAUAUAUAACCUUGAAUUGCUCCUUCUAACAUUCUUCAUUCAUUUAAUUGAUUUUUUUAACCAUCCUUGUAGUUUCAUCUUUACAACUUCUUCAGCACUAUUUGGAGGAGAAUAAAUUGUAGUGAGAUAGAUCAAAUAUUUACAUCAGUCAUCUAGCAGGCAAUUCGAGACCUUUAAUUCUAUCAUACUGAUCCUAAGAUCAUACUUGGUUGUUACAUACUUCCCCUGGCUCCAUGAAGCAUCAUAGGCAGUCCCAUCUUACUCGCACAUCUUGUGUGGUCUACAAGACCAUCCUAAGUCAAUGGUAAGGAAUCAGUCUUUUCUUUGCAAGGUGCUUUCAAUAUUAUUUCAUCAGGGCAUCAUAAAGAAGAUUCUGUGCCCUAGAAAUUAAUUCUUUAGGCCUUCGGAAGAAAAAUCAGGGUACUUAAAAGCAUCAUAAAUUAUUACACUAUGCGAUAAGUCAGUAAUACUGCAGAAUGUAAAACUUGAGUUAAUCUGUGUUAUGUGUAUACCUUUAUUUGUCUUUGUUCUUCUUUUUCAGUAACCAAGAUUUUUUGUGAUAUUUGCAGAAAGGACUGUUCACAUAUUCAAGCUUCAUUUGAAGAUGGUCUAUUGCAUCAAUAUCUGUGAACUAUUAUAAAGUUCUAUGGGAUAGAUAACGGAAAGCAAAAUUUUCUCAUCCUGUAAGAGGAUGAGACUCUAAACAUUAUGUAAAAUAUAAACUGUUAUUGUGCCUUCAGGCUUAGUGUUGGUAUGUUUGAAUCUUUUGUUUCAAGUUGUUUGAUUUAGAUUCUAGGUACUUCCAUGUCUAGAAGCAUGUUAUCUCCUUCGAUUGCACAGAAAUUCUUUUGUUUUCUAUGAAAUUUAUAUAGAGAAAAAUGCAACGAAAGACAUUUUCCAUACAUCCAUCUUUAUUUCAAGGUAAAACACACUGGGAGUUGGG